Molecule: ribosomal RNA, 544 nt
Filed under: uncultured bacterium
Lineage: Bacteria
Description: bacterial SSU rRNA
Rfam family: Bacterial small subunit ribosomal RNA
Source: RNAcentral
AGGUAAUAGAUACCCGGGUAGUCCACGCUGUAAACGAUGAAUACUAGGUGUAGGGGGUAUCAACUCCCUCUGUGCCGCAGCAAAAAACGCAAUAAGUAUUCCGCCUGGGGAGUACGAUCGCAAGAUUGAAACUCAAAGGAAUUGACGGGGGCCCGCACAAGCAGCGGAGCAUGUGGUUUAAUUCGAAGCAACGCGAAGAACCUUACCAAGGCUUGACAUCCACUUAAACUCAUGGAAACAUGAGGUGUCUUCGGACGAAGUGAGACAGGUGGUGCAUGGUUGUCGUCAGCUCGUGUCGUGAGAUGUUGGGUUAAGUCCCGCAACGAGCGCAACCCUUAUUGCCAGUUACCAGCGCGUAAAGGCGGGGACUCUGGUGAGACCGCCGGGGACAACUCGGAGGAAGGUGGGGACGACGUCAAAUCAUCAUGCCCCUUAUGUCUUGGGCUACACACGUGCUACAAUGGCAGUUACAAAGAGAUGCGAAACCGUAAGGCGAAGCAAACCUCACAAAAGCUGUCCCAGUUCGGAUCGUGGGCUGCAACCC